This 2205-nucleotide long non-coding RNA is filed under the name Polistes fuscatus (common paper wasp). RNAcentral describes it as "uncharacterized LOC122514039, transcript variant X2". Lineage: Eukaryota; Metazoa; Arthropoda; Insecta; Hymenoptera; Vespidae. The record is from RNAcentral.
GAAAAGAGAAAGAAGAGAAAAGAAGAGUAAAGAAAAGAAAAGAGAUGAGAAGGAGGAGGAGGAGGAGGACGAUGGUAUGCAGUAUUCGUGCUUGAUGUCGUGGGGAUCGUGCUUACGAGUCUUCAACCGCGUUUUGAUCAGUCCAAAGAAGAAAGCAGGACAACGAGAGUCGAAAGCAUGGCGAGGUGAGGUAAGGUGAAUCGAGGUGAAGCUGUGGAGCGAAUCGCCAUGGCAACGGCUUCGCCACGGAUUCCAUUUACCUAUCGCUAUGGAAACGUGAGGGAAGGGGCGGGGAGGGCGUUUAGAGCUAUAGAACGAACGAGCGAGAGAGCGAGAAGAGGGAAGGGAGGGAAAAGCAUUGAAGGGAAAGAGAGAGAGAGAGAGUGAGGAGGUGGAGGAGGAAAAUCUGGACGAGAACGAGAGAUAGAGAGACUGAUGGUGGACGAAGAGGGUAGGAGAAGAGAGUGAGGGGUGGACAGGAGUGCCAAGGUAGGGGACGAAGUGGUCGUCAGAGACGAUAACACACCAACAGAUAUAUCGAUCAUCUAUCUAGGCAGCUGUUAUACACGUCAUUCUAUACCUUGGAGCCACCUCCUGGCAUGUAGCUUUGCAAAUCACGUAUACAUGUGUCCGCAUCUUUUUAUGUCUACUUCUUGCACACAUCUUUUUGAUGCUCCACGUCGCCGACUUUUGCAAUUUACAUUUAAAAAAAAAGCUAUAUAUAUAAAAUAAAAUGUAAAUGAAAAGAAAGGAUAGUAGUCCGAUUUCAAACAAGGAACUGACGAAAAUGAAAGACACAAUUAUAUGUCCUUCGGAAAAGAGGAGAGUCCCAAAGUACAGCUUACCGGUCUCUAAUUUUCAAUGUUAUUUCAGAGAAUAAAGUGGAAAGCAAUUAGAUGCGAGGACGCGCAUUACCAUCGCUAAUUUUAAACCUGUCCUAAGCGGCUCCCACGAUAGUCCCUACGAGUUCCUGUCAUCCCGUGCGAACGUGACCUCUUGUGAUGUGCCUUCGCAUUAAUCGUCGCUAAAUUAUCUAAGGUUCGAGUUUGUUAAAUGUCCAUGCGGAGACUUAAGCGGAUUGCGAUGGAAUUGAAGUUGGUCCAGCUCAAUGCUUUGAACUUGCCAAAAACGAAUGAGAGAAAGAGAAAGAGAGAAAACGAAGAGAAGAGAAGAGAAGAGAAAGAGAAAGAGAGACUGUGCCUACGAAUUAUAUCGGACUGACUGCUCUACCCUUUUGGUGAACCUUUUAACCCUUUAAUUGCUAUCGUCGCCAUUCGUCGUCGACGGCCAUGGUGAACCUCUUCAAAGUAAACCACGCGAUCACCGUCGACGAAACGAUUUCACACGCACCGAUUAAUUGCUACGAUGCCGAGAAUAGAAUCAAAAAAAAAAAAUAAAAUAAAAAGGAAGAAAAAAAAUGGAGACACAAAAGAAUUACUUUGAGUAUCAGAGAUUCGUCAAGCAGUAACUAUCACUUCUAUGGACGUUAUACUUCAAUGAAAAAACUUUGAUCACGUUAUUUCAAUCGAUAUUCUUACUAAUUGGAAAUCGUCCAUUUUAUUCAUUAAAUCGUUCGCGCGGGUAAUGAUCACUUUAGUAAAUUACAUGCACUCGCAAAUGGUCGGAAAAACGCAUUUCAAUCGCCGUUAAAAUUUUGACUUUGUUUUCUUGCGUUUGGCAAGCAAACAGAAACAAUGGGAAGAUGGAACAACAGAAAGCGUAAUUAAUUACUAUUUCACACGUUCCUAAAUUUAAUGCGAUCGUCGGUCUGCGGUCUUCCUUUCUCUACUUACGUCCGGUUAAAUCGUAAUUACUCAGAGAGCCUCUAGCAGAUUGGUCAGCAAAGGUUGGUGAAAAGGGCUGGUUGACAAGAGCCCGCUUAGCGAUAAGAUAAGAGAUUGCCAACACUUGUAGCAUUUGUGUGAGAUCGUUAAGAAAUUACUUUCAGGAUAACACAGUAAAUGUAAAUGCAAUCCUUGUAAAACAGAAUCCUAUCUGUAUUUUCUGCAUUUAGAUUGAAGAGAAAUAUUUUAAUUGAAAAAAGGUUUAUUUUUCUUUGCAUAACGUGUUUAAUCAAAAACCAGCCAUUUUGAUUUGUUUGAUUAGUUCCAGUGAUAUAGAUUGUGCGUUCGGCCAAAUCAACUAAUGAGAAUAAUAGUGGAAAGAAGAAUAAAAAGUUUGCAAGUUCUUUUUUCAUUUGAAAAA